RNAcentral lists this ribosomal RNA (91 nucleotides) under Acanthochromis polyacanthus (spiny chromis). Lineage: Eukaryota; Metazoa; Chordata; Actinopteri; Pomacentridae. The record is from RNAcentral.
GCUUACGGCCACACCACGCUGGGCAUGCCCGAUCUCGUCUGAUCUCGGAAGCCAAUCAGCGUCGGGCCUGGUUAGUACUUGGACGGAAGAN